GAUUGCAGGCUGCAACUCGCCUGCAUGAAGUCGGAAUUGCUAGUAAUCGCGGAUCAGCAUGCCGCGGUGAAUACGUUCCCGGGCCUUGUACACACCGCCCGUCACACCAUGGGAGCCGGUAAUACCCGAAGUCAGUAGUCCAACCUCGUGAGGACGCUGCCGAAGGUAGGAUUGGCGACUGGGGUGAAGUCGUAACAAGGUAUC
RNAcentral lists this ribosomal RNA (204 nucleotides) under uncultured bacterium. RNAcentral describes it as "partial 16S ribosomal RNA". It matches the Rfam family "Bacterial small subunit ribosomal RNA", at positions 1296 to 1500 of the family's 1533-position model. The record is from RNAcentral.